Ictalurus punctatus (channel catfish) is the source of this 3217-nucleotide long non-coding RNA. RefSeq lists it as uncharacterized. The record is from RefSeq and is a predicted model, not a curated record. The transcript has 3 exons. Lineage: Eukaryota; Metazoa; Chordata; Actinopteri; Siluriformes; Ictaluridae.
UAGAACACAUAAUGCAUAAAGGAUUCUUUUAAGGAAAUGGUGUCUGAACUGGACAUUUGUGUGUAAUUUAUGUGUUUAUACACAUUUAUGUAAUUUUUAGUAUUUCUCAAAUACUGGUAUGUUUUAGUUUAAGUUAUGUAAAUUUAAGUCAUGAGCAUCAACUCUACAACUUUGUGUUAGUAUUUUAUGGAUUGCUUGAUUUUUAAUGUAAACAAAUAAUAGUAUAUUAAUUUGUAACAGCAAUAAAGAUAGUAUGGCUUCUUCUUAGAUUUCUUGCAGUAGAUCUAAUUAUCUCAAAGGACAUCAUAUCAAAAUACUAAUGGUGCCAUUAGCAUAGUAUAGAGGUUAGGAAUCUCUUACAUUGGAAACUUUUACUUUACAGUUGUCUGACCUGAGAACUGAGAUCAAGUGAUUAAGGAGCACUGGUGCCUCUCUGCAUUCUGUGAUCCAGUGUGGCCUCUCAAGCUGCCAGUCUGGUCUUUAAUAAGUUCAGUAAUUAAUAAUGUCAUCACAAGCAGAACAUGAAUACCUCUGUUUUGUCACCUGGAACACAAAUGGUAUAAAAGAGAAAUAAUUAAGAAGUUCCAGUCAACUGGAAAUGUUAUGAAUCAACCUGGAAGAGGACGUGUGUGUAUACUGUCUCAAUGUCCUGUGAAGAGGAUGGUUUGAGUGGCCAAAAAAUCUCCAUGGAUCACAGCUGGAGAAUUGCAGAAGUUAAUUGCGUCUUGGGGUCAGAAAGUCUCCAAAACUACAAAACGAAGUCACCAACAUCACCACAAACUCAAGUGUCUUCAGUUUGCCAGACACUAGUGGAACUUCUAAUGGGAUCGGGUUCUAUGGUGAUGAAACCAAAAUAGAGCUUUUUGGCAAUAAACAUCAGACGUGGUUUUGGCACAUACAGAGAGGUAGCCAUAUGGAAAAGUACCUCAUGUCCAUGGUUAAAUAUGGUGGUGGCUCUUUAAUGUUCUGGGGCUGUUUUUCUGUCAGAGGACCUGGACAUUUUAUUAGGAUACAUGACAUCAUGGACUCCAUCAAAUAUCAACAGAUAUUAAAUGAAAACCUGACUGUUUCUGCCAGAAAGCUUAAAAUGGGCCGUGGUUGGAUCUUCCAGCAGGACAAUGAUCCAAGCAUACAUCAAAAUCAACAUAAAAAUGGUUUACUGACCACAGAAUGGAUUCUGUAUAGAGGAAUGGUCUCAGAUCCCUUGCCAUGUAUUCUCCAACCUCAUAAGACGUUAAUCAUUUAGUUAAUGUGUCUAAUGAUUUGUAAAUGUAUUUACAUUUCCUGUCUAUGUUAACACAUAAUUAACUGAAAAGUGUACAUUUAUGUUUGGCUAAGUCUUUGCAUGACCUUACUUCUCUCCAAAUCAUAUGUAUGACACACAAACCCUUCUAGAGAGCUUUUUACAACAUCUAAUAUGACAGAACUUACAACAAAUGUAUUUCCUCUCUUCUCUGUCACUAGAUUUUAUGUCAAAAUUUUAGUAGUAGUGUAAUAAAUGUUGAGACAAGGAUAUAAGUGUGAAUUUAAUUAUUUUAAACAUAAACAGUCCAAAAUCCCCAAUCACAAACAUUUAAAGGUACAUUAGUUAAGAUUAGCCAAGAAUGGAGCUCUGGUGGUUAAUUAGGUACAACAAAAAUGGAUCGAUUUUGUCUCCUUGGACCCACUUACAAUUCUGGUCCAUGUACGUGAAGCACAACUACAGAAUGUACAGUGGCCAACACAGUUCAGUUAGAUGGGAGUGGGUGUUAGCAUAGUCAAUUAAUCCUGACAUGUCGUUUGCCCACUAGGCCACUUAUCUUGUUAUGGAUGUUAUAACACUUUCAACACAAUAUAUUUGUUUGAGACUGAUUUGCUGUCGUCAAGCGCCAUUACCGUCUUGUUUUUAAUUGAGUUUUUUUCCGUUCAGUAAUACCUAGACCACCACUGCAAACACAAGCACUUGUCAUUAAAAAAUUUUAAAAAUGCAAAGAGAAUGUAGAGAAUAUGCAAAGAUGGUAAUAGUAUUUUUUUCCUGUAAAAAAAAAAAAGUUAAAAUAUUAAUAUGAUGAUAUAUGAAAGAUGAAAAGCAUUCAAAUAAAUAUCUAAUCUAGUAAUCUAAUCUAAUCUAGACGAUAUCUAAUCUAGUAAAUUUUCAGUAUAUUGCUGCAGGUAUUGUCUUAGUUGUAAUUAUCACUUUAAUUAUUGCAAAUUUGGUUUUAUUUAACAAUAUGGCUUCCAUACUCAUUAUUCAGCAGCUUAUAAAAUAGCUUAAAAUUUUUAAUAUUGUGUCCAUUAGUACUUAUAUGUACACACAUUUAUGAAACCAUGACAUAUUACAUCAAGGUCAUGAAAUCAUAAUGUAUGCAUGGGAUAUAAGCAAGGUCUGAUUAAGAUGAGUUUCCUCUGAUGUCCUUUAUGCAAAUCAAACAAACAAGAAUGCACCUCAACCUAUGGAUUGUAUCAUAAAAAAGUAAAGUUAUUUUUUUUCACUGUUCAUUUGUCCCAUUUAUUGUAUUAAUUGAUAAUAAAAAGAACAAAAACAACUGCCUGUCAUGUUUAUUCACUAUUAUGCUUAUUUAUUAUGUUUAAUAAAUAUAUUACAUUUAAAAAUAAAAAGAGAAUAAAAAACACUACUGCCUGUCAUAGUUAUAUGAUCUGUUUAUUUAAAAAAUAUAGAAAAUAACUAUUUCCACAGGCUUUCAUUUUCACUGGGUUUCCUGUCAGUGUCCUCAAGCUGACUCCUGAGGUAAACAGUCUAAAAUGCACUCUGUCUUGCUAGUUUGGGUUUUGGCGAAACUUUCUGAGGAGUAGAAGAAGGUGUAUUUUAGAAAGAACAACCAUAUUUACGCCAUGCGUCCCUAAAUCAAUUAAACAGUCAUCAAUACAUAAUUUUCUAAUAUGUAUGUGAAUUCAUUACAUACAAGUUUUAAUUAAUACAGUCAAUCCACCAAAUUUCUGUUUUGUUAAUGUGUUUUCUGAUUUGUCGUUGUGUUUUCUGAUUUGUUAAUGUGUUUUCUGAUUUGUUAUUGUGUUUUCUGAUUUUUUAAUGUGUUUUCUGACUUGUUAAUGUGUUUUAUGAUUCGUCCUUGUGUUUAUAAUUUGUUGUUUUGUUUUUGGAUUUGUUAUUUUGUUUUCAUAUUUGUGUUUUGCUUUGCACUUCUCAGCCACCAUAAGCUGCUUUCUGUUUUUCACUUUCAUUUCUCUUGCUUUGUAAGUAGGAACAAAAAAAUAAAAU